GACGAACGCUGGCGGCAUGCUUAACACAUGCAAGUCGAACGGAAAGGCCCUGCUUUUGUGGGGUGCUCGAGUGGCGAACGGGUGAGUAACACGUGAGUAACCUGCCCUUGACUUUGGGAUAACUUCAGGAAACUGGGGCUAAUACCGGAUAGGAGCUCCUGCUGCAUGGUGGGGGUUGGAAAGUUUCGGCGGUUGGGAUGGACUCGCGGCUUAUCAGCUUGUUGGUGGGGUAGUGGCUUACCAAGGCUUUGACGGGUAGCCGGCCUGAGAGGGUGACCGGCCACAUUGGGACUGAGAUACGGCCCAGACUCCUACGGGAGGCAGCAGUGGGGAAUAUUGCACAAUGGGCGGAAGCCUGAUGCAGCAACGCCGCGUGCGGGAUGACGGCCUUCGGGUUGUAAACCGCUUUCGCCUGUGACGAAGCGUGAGUGACGGUAAUGGGUAAAGAAGCACCGGCUAACUACGUG
Molecule: ribosomal RNA, 467 nt
Filed under: uncultured bacterium
Lineage: Bacteria
Description: partial 16S ribosomal RNA
Rfam family: Bacterial small subunit ribosomal RNA
Source: RNAcentral